Microcebus murinus (gray mouse lemur) is the source of this 1261-nucleotide non-coding RNA. The record is from RefSeq and is a predicted model, not a curated record. NCBI's taxonomy places the organism in Eukaryota, Metazoa, Chordata, Mammalia, Primates, Cheirogaleidae.
GCCAAAUUCUAGAUAAUUGCAACAUACCAAUGGUUCCUGAACUUUAAUCUAUAUCAGAAUCACCUGGAAGGCUUAAUAAACUCCAGAUUCCAGAACUACAUCCCUAGAGUUGCUGAUUUAGUUGAUUUGGGAAGGAACCUGAGAAUUUGCAUUUUUAAAAAGUUCCUAGGUGAUACUGAUGCUACUCGUCUGGGGACCUCACUCAGAAUGACUACAAUAUCUUACUAUAAUGUGAUUUCUAUGAAGAAUCUACAGUGAUGCUGAGGUUCUUCUUCUUUGUCCUUAUCUCCUGUUCAAAUCUCAUCAUUGUCAGGCAUCAUUAACAAAGGUGAAGAUACUGGUAUCGUGAUUAGCUAUUCCAGAUAUGAUCUGAUAUGAUGAAGACACAAAAAUUGCCAUAUACCAUGCUCAAUCUCUGGUCAUCAAACACAUUGUGGAUCUAUGAAGCGUACUUCAUUGAGGGUUUGUUAAAAUGAUGAUAAAGACAGAGAAUGAGUAGAUUUUAUCAUUUCCAAGGGAAUUUUCUGCAACAAUGGAGUUUUCAUUUUUCUCAACAAGCCAUCUGAUUGAUAACAACGUCUAAGUGAAGUAAUAGACAAGCCUUAGUAAUUUGUGGCUACUCACAUAUAAAAGUGUACUCCCACAAAUGGAGUUCCUAUAUUUAUCUCCUCACUUGGCUUUCAAAAUUGUUGAGCUACUCCUUUUUCUAAUUAUGAAUGAAAUAUUCUUACACUUUUUUUUAUAAAACACUAAGCUUUAGAAUAUCCUAAUUACCUUGUUAUGAUUAAAAUACUUUUUACAUUACUUUUCUCUUCUUACCAAUUCUGAGUUGAUUUUAUAUGAUUCAUUUAUUCCUGGUGAUUAAAAUCCUAUAGAAAUAGCCAUGAGCUAUUACAAUUGGCUAGUAGUUGAGUUUGUUCAAGUUAUUUCCAGCAUAUACAUUAAAAAUUAAAUUAUUUUAACCUUCAAGGCCAAUUAUACGUCUUACCCUUGAGAAUGACAUUGUCAAUGACACUGAAAACUGCCAGAGAACUGUGAAUAAAAGAUGUAAAAUGAGGAAAUAAGCACUGGGGAACCCUGGGAUAUGGAUAAGCAAAUGCCAUCAUUUGGAUAAGGCUGGAGGCACAUUUGGCCAGAGCACUAGGUUUCUGGCCUUGACCUCCCAGGUCCUGCUGUCAGACAUGAAGCCUUCAGUUAUGCUUGUAGCAGCCAUCUCUCUGGCUGCCAACUCCAAUCCUUUACAAAAAGCCAAAGCACUUCC